UCACAAUUUUUGCAAAGGGGUUAGCCACUGAGAAGUCAUGUAUGGGGUUGACACGAUGACUUCUGAUUACUCUGUCAUCUGAAGUUCCAAAAUGAAAUUCAGCAUUUUUGGAGCCUAUUCCAUUCUGCCGCAGGCGCCGGCGCUGAUCAACAAACCAUUCAUUUUUGCGAAAUAAAUGUAGGGCAAACCUCAUUACCUUCAGCACCCCUGCUCUGACAACAAAGAACCUGGUGAAUAUAAUCUCCGGUAAGGUCCCUCGGUAGGAGUUCAAAGUAAUUUCUGAGAGAUGCAGAUCUAGGCAUUCGACGUGAUUGUUAUAUUGUAUCACAUUAUCCACCACUGGGCCUAAUCUUAUCUGCAAAAGAAGAAAAUGUGUUAGUGCCUACAUGCAGUUUUGAAUUGCCUAAAAAAAUGCAGUUUUGAACACUACUAUAGGCCUAUUUAGUUUGCAGGAUUUGUAAAAUGCACUAACAUGCCCUCUUCGAUCUGACAUGAUUAACAUGGGCAUUAACAUGCCAUCUUCGAUCUUCACAAGAGGUUGGAGUGGAUGAAAAGUACCCUAAGAAAACUAGUACAGAUGAAUCCAAAGGAGAAAUGCAUAUGGAUUGUAACCAUAUGGAUCAAGCAACCAAUAUGGGGGGCAUGUAUGUACUGAAAUCCUCCAAAAGAAUCCUUCAGAAAUCGUAGUACACUGUCAUUGUAAACUUGGAAAAAGGUGUCACAAAUUGAACUCCCUUAUGGUUAAUAUUUAACAGGAAAGGAACAUCACCUCGAUAUAUAGCUUCUCCAGGCACGGAAAGCAUCUCAGGAAACUAACAACUUGCUCCAGGUUGGGGCCGAUAGAUUCUAG
RNAcentral lists this long non-coding RNA (850 nucleotides) under Triticum aestivum (bread wheat). RNAcentral's name for it is "long non-coding RNA (TAES_LNC013081)". The record is from RNAcentral. Lineage: Eukaryota; Viridiplantae; Streptophyta; Magnoliopsida; Poales; Poaceae.